Long non-coding RNA from Motacilla alba alba, 494 nucleotides. RefSeq lists it as uncharacterized. NCBI's taxonomy places the organism in Eukaryota, Metazoa, Chordata, Aves, Passeriformes, Motacillidae. The transcript has 5 exons. The record is from RefSeq and is a predicted model, not a curated record.
AGAAAGAAAAUCACACAAAAUUCUCUGUAGUGUGUCAAUACCUGCCAAGAGUCUGGAGCUCUCUGGGUGUAGGAAGAGCAACUGGGAAUCCAAGAGGGAAUACCUGGCUGUGGCUGUGGCUGGGAGUACCUGCACUGUCUCCAGCUGUUACUGUUUCGUGAUAAAAUAAUUCUCAAAAUGGACUUGGAUUUAAUCCUCUGUAUCUGCCUCUUGCCUUCUGCAUUUUGGCAGGUUUGAAAACCACAGCCCGAUGCAUGUAUACUGGGAGUAGAAGAAAGAAGAUAGAGGAAGAACAGGGGGAGAAAGCCCUAAAUGAGAGACUGACUAGCAAAAUGGAAUCUGAGCUUGAACUGCAUACCUAGUAGUGAAAACUGUGAAGACUGAUUCAUCUGCCAGGCCUUCCUUCACAGAGCUCCUGAAUGAUCCCUCCAUCUUCAUUGGUGCCUCUGGGUGUACACUGAACAUAAUGCAAGAAGUCUAUCAAUAUGGGUAAG